AUAAGUGACAACAAGAAGCACGUGAUAGAAUGUACCUUGGCUGCUCAUUUGUGUCGUGGGGCUGUGAAUCUUGACAACAUGCCACUGAAGCUCUUUUUUAGCACAUUCAUGCAUAAUGCAUGAUGCAUCCACACAUACAUACAUUCAUACAUACUACAUACUUGCUUCGCUUGCACAUUCAUAAUUUCUCUGAAACGUCUCUCGGUGAUAAGUGACAACAAGAAGCACGUGAGAGAAUGUACCUUGGCUGCUAAUUUUUGUCGUGGGGCUGUGCAUCUUGACAACAUGCCACUGAAGCUCUUUUUUAGCACAUUCAUGCAUAAUGCAUGAUGCAUCCACACAUACAUACAUUCAUACAUACUACAUACUUGCUUCGCUUGCACAUUCAUAAUUUCUCUG
This is an RNA transcript of Arabidopsis thaliana (thale cress), 399 nucleotides long. RefSeq lists it as uncharacterized. Lineage: Eukaryota; Viridiplantae; Streptophyta; Magnoliopsida; Brassicales; Brassicaceae. The record is from RefSeq. The transcript has 3 exons.